UACGGAGGGUGCAAGCGUUAAUCGGAAUUACUGGGCGUAAAGCGUGCGCAGGCGGUUUGUUAAGUCCGCUGUGAAAUCCCCGAGCUCAACUUGGGAAUUGCAGUGGAUACUGGCAAGCUGGAGUAUGGUAGAGGAAGGUGGAAUUCCCGGUGUAGCAGUGAAAUGCGUAGAGAUCGGGAGGAACACCAGUGGCGAAGGCGGCCUUCUGGACCAAUACUGACGCUCAUGCACGAAAGCGAGGGGAGCAAACAGG
Molecule: ribosomal RNA, 253 nt
Filed under: uncultured bacterium
Lineage: Bacteria
Description: partial 16S ribosomal RNA
Rfam family: Bacterial small subunit ribosomal RNA
Source: RNAcentral